CCUACGGGUGGCAGCAGUGGGGAAUCUUGCACAAUGGGGGAAACCCUGAUGCAGCGACGCCGCGUGAGCGAUGAAGUAUUUCGGUAUGUAAAGCUCUGUCAGCAGGGAAGAAAAUGACUGUACCUAACUAAGAAGCCCCUGCUAACUACUUGCCAGCAGCCGCGGUAAUACGUAGUGCGCAAGCGUUAUCCGGAUAUACUGGGUGUAAAGGGAGCGUAGACGGUCCUGCAAGCCAGAUGUGAAAGCCCGGGUCUCAACCCCGGGACUGCAUUUGGAACUGUAAGGCGAGAGUGUAGGAGAGGAAGGCGGAAUUCCUAGUGUAGCGGUGAAAUGCGUAGAGAUUAGGAGGAACACCAGUGGCGAAGGCGGCCUGCUGGACGAUGACUGACGUUGAGGCUCGAAAGCGUGGGGAGCAAACAGGAUUAGAUACCCGAGUAGUC
RNAcentral lists this ribosomal RNA (440 nucleotides) under uncultured bacterium. RNAcentral's name for it is "partial 16S ribosomal RNA". It matches the Rfam family "Bacterial small subunit ribosomal RNA", at positions 338 to 795 of the family's 1533-position model. The record is from RNAcentral.